AUUGAACGCUGGCGGCAUGCUUUACACAUGCAAGUCGAACGGUAACAGGCCUUCGGGUGCUGACGAGUGGCGAACGGGUGAGUAAUGCAUCGGAACGUGCCCAGGGGUGGGGGAUAACGCAGCGAAAGCUGUGCUAAUACCUCAUGUGAUCUGAGGAUGAAAGCGGGGGACCAAGCAGCAAUGUUUGGCCUCGCGCCUCUGGAGCGGCCGAUGUCAGAUUAGGUAGUUGGUGGGGUAAAGGCCUACCAAGCCGACGAUCUGUAGCUGGUCUGAGAGGACGACCAGCCACACUGGGACUGAGACACGGCCCAGACUCCUACGGGAGGCAGCAGUGGGGAAUUUUGGACAAUGGGCGCAAGCCUGAUCCAGCAAUGCCGCGUGCGGGAAGAAGGCCUUCGGGUUGUAAACCGCUUUUGUACGGAACGAAAAGGCUCUGGCUAAUACCUGGGGCUGAUGACGGUACCGGAAGAAUAAGCACCGGCUAACUACGUG
Molecule: ribosomal RNA, 492 nt
Filed under: uncultured bacterium
Lineage: Bacteria
Description: partial 16S ribosomal RNA
Rfam family: Bacterial small subunit ribosomal RNA
Source: RNAcentral